Molecule: long non-coding RNA, 3466 nt
Filed under: Homo sapiens (human)
Lineage: Eukaryota; Metazoa; Chordata; Mammalia; Primates; Hominidae
Description: HSALNT0142516
Source: RNAcentral
GCCAUGUUGGCCAGGCUGGUCUCGAACUCCUAACCUCAGCGGAUUCACCCACCUCCGCCUCCUAAAGUGCUGGGAUUACAGGCAUGAGCCACCGCGCCCGGCCAGGAGCACUGGACUGCAGACCAAGAGCUCUGGCUCCGGAAACUGGAGGCAUCCCUCUCCAUCCAAGACUGGCCUGCCAAGCUGCCUGCUUAGAAGGACUUUGGAAGCAAGACAGAGCAGUGUCUUCAUCAGAUACCUGCCAAGCUUUUGCAGCUGUUCCUGGAAGGAGACCCAGUUGAAAGGGGUUGUUAUGGACCAGGAACAGCUGGGAUCUUUAAUGAUCUGUGAGCAGCUUACAGCAAAGUUCCAACACCCUGAGUAUCAGUCCCCAAAUCCUUGGUCUUUGCAUUCCAACACAAAGUAAAAAGGAUUGAGCAGGGUUUUGGUUUUGGUUGCAAGUAACAGAAACCCAACGCUAAUUAAUAAACGGGAAAGUGUGUCAGUGGAAAUGUAAGUAAGAAGAGAUUUCAUUUACUGGCCAAUUCAAAAGAUGACAAGCUUUAGGCGUGGCUCAGUCCAGUGGCUCAUGAUGUCUUCAGGACUCAGUGUUUCUCUGUUGUCAUCUCUUAGUUCUAUUAUUUUUUCUGUGUUGGUUCAUUAUGAGGUUUCCUUUAGAGGGUGGCAGAGAAAGCCACUAGUUGCUUCAAGUCUUUAUUUUACCAGCUCCACAAGUCCGACGGAAAGAGAAAACUGCUUUCCCAAAGGGUGUAAGAGGAUGAAAGGCAUGUCAUCAGCUGAAUUGCAUCAGGUGUCCAUCUUGGAAUCAAUCACGGUGCCUCUUAUUAGCAAAGCCUGAGUCAUAGCAAGAAAACAGGGACCUUAAUCUUACGACCACAAGGAACUGGACUCUGCUACCAGAAUGAGCUGCAAGGGAGAUUCUUCCUCAGAAGCUUCAGAUAAGAACUCCACCUGGCUGACCUUUGAUUUUGGUUUUGUGAGAACUUUGGCAGAUAACCCAGGCAUGUGUCAUUUCACAUCUGCAUAAAAAGACAUGCUGAAGGAUGUUCCUUGCAGAAUGGUUAUAGAGAAAAAUGGGAAUAACCACGAUAUAAAGUAACAGUCUGCUAUUUUAGGAAGUGGAUAAAAUGGCAUUUUGACAGAUCUGGAGGGUCUUGGAUCUACCUUUCAACAUUGGCAUUACUGAUAUUAGAGUACCACCACUCACUAGCUGUGGAGAUGUAGGAAGAUUACUUAACCACUCAGAGCCUUGGUUUCCUCAUUUGUUAUGUGAAGAUGACAAUAUCAGAUGACAGUGAGAUCUGAGAUGAAUUUAACUGCCUUCAGUAGUGCUGGCCUGCUCCUGAGAGAGAGAUGAUUGAGAGGGAGGAAGUAGAGAGGAGGAAGAAGCCUUUACUCACACUCCUUGAGGAGUGAUUCAGGUGGACAGCCUGAAUUACGGGAUUUAUUGGCAGCAAGUAAGUAUUGUCUGAGUGGAUUACUGCAAAAUGCUUUAGCUGGGGAUGGCUUUGAAAACCACUCAUCAAUUACAGAUGGUACCCAGUAUAGCAGCAGGAGUACCCUUGCGGGCUUUUGUUAUCUCCGACCUCUUCCUUCAUGGGUGACCGUUCUAACCCAAAGACCUCAACUGUUCAUCAAAAACCUGCCACUCAGAACUGCAUAUCAAUUAUUAAACAAUGUCCCAUGCAGGACAGUGACUUUAAAUUAUCUUGGAAAUGAUAAAGACCAACAUUUGUCUUUGUUAACAUGCUGAGUGAUUCUGUGGUCUCUAGUCACAGGUGAAAGGAUCAGAUUUGAGAUUUCUAGACACCAGAAUCACAUUAGGGUUAAGCAAAACUCCAUCUUUUCCCAGAGAAAAUUUAGCCAGAAAUGUUGCUUAUUUGAGAUGAGAAGUAAGAUGAAGUGUUCUAACAUGGCGGAGCUUGAUAUGCAAAUGAGCCCAUCUAGGGACAGUAGGGAUUGGUAAUGUGGGUCUGUGGAUGCCUGGAAGGCUCACAGAAAGACUUCAGGAAUUCCUGAGUCUCUUCAAAGUGUAAGCAAAAUUUUGUGUGUAUUUUCUUAUUUGCAUGAUAUGGCUUGGCUGUGUCCCCACCCAAACCUUAUCUCGAAUUGUAACUCCCACAAUUCCCACAUGUCGUGGAAGGAUCCUGGUGGGAUUCAUUAUGGGGGCAGGUCUUUCCAGUGCUGUUCUCAUGAUAGUGAAUGAGUCUCACAAUAUCUGAUGGUUUUAAAAACAGGAGUUUCUUUGCACAAGCUCUCUUUCUACCGCUGCCUCCAUGUAAGAUGUGACUUGCUCCUCCUUGCCUUCCACCAUGAUUGUGAGGCCUCCCCAUCCACGUGGAACUGCGAGGCCAAUUGAACUCCUUUCUUUUGUAAAUUGUCCAGUCUCAGGUAUGUCUUUAUCAGCAGUGUGAAAAUGGGCUAAUACAGUGCAUUUAUUUUUUUGAAGCAUGUCCAUACUUUCCAUUGGAUUCUCAAAGGGAUUCAGGACCUGGAAACUUUUUGAAAUACUGCUCCAUAGUAAAUGGCACAAAUCUCUCUGAAUCAAGGAUGUCUCUAGCCUUAGGCAAAGCUAGGUUGAAGGACAGAACAGAGAGUCAGCCUCUGGAGUGCCCUCUAUAAGGAAAAAGAAAACAUUACUAGAGUAAGUUGAUAAAGUAUAAAUUCAUCUCACUCCUACUGGACACUGCCCUUGAGUGAAAUUAAAAACUGAAAAAUUUUUGACAUAUCUUUUGAGCAUUUUUGUAAAAUACGCAUGUAGCUAUGGCCAAAAUUCUGGAAUAAAAUGGUACAUAUAGCCUUAGGUAUCCUGGCUCUGUUUCUUAAAGGAGUCAUAUUUACAGAAUUGCAGUUGUCCAGGUGCAGUGGCUCACGCCUGUAAUCCAAACAAUUUGGGAGGCCCAAGCAGGUGGAUCACUUGAAGUCAGGAGUUUGAGACCAGCCUGGUCAACAUGGUGAAACCCCAUCUCUAGUAAAAAUACAAAAAAAAAAUUAGCCGGGCAUGGUGGCGGGCACCAGUAAUCCCAGCUACUGGGGAGGCUGAGGCAGGACAAUUGCUUGAACCUGGGAGGCAGAGGUUGGGAGGUUGCAGUGACCCUAGAUAGCACCAUUGCACUCCAGCCUGGAUGACAGAGCGAGAUUCCAUCUCAAAAAAAAAGAAAGAAAGAAAGAAAGAAUUACAGUUGAUUAGCCACAAAUAAUUUCUAAAAUGUUUUUGCUCACAUCUCUCAUAAAAAUAAAAGAAUAUCCAUGUCCUGUCUUAUUUCUUAUAGCUGCCAGUACACCCCCCAGUUUCCUCUUAUAACUGUUUCAUCCAGAAUCCUUCACAUGGUUACCCUUCACUUUCUCUAUUCCAGUCCAGGUUGCUUAUUUUCUUUUCUCUGGCCUUCUCCCUGUUGCUUUGCUCUUCAUCGUGUAGAUUGAUUUAGUUGUUUUGGCUCAGUCCUUCCUUCUGUCUUCUGUUUCU